Molecule: transfer RNA, 65 nt
Filed under: Alarcta quadrimacula
Lineage: Eukaryota; Metazoa; Arthropoda; Insecta; Hemiptera; Cicadidae
Description: tRNA-Ser
Rfam family: tRNA
About the family: Transfer RNA (tRNA) molecules are approximately 80 nucleotides in length.
Source: RNAcentral
AGUUAAUUAGCUUAAUUAAGCAUUUACCUUGAAAGUAAAAGAAAAGAGUUAACCUCUAUUAACUU